AGAUAUUGUAAUAAUACCAGUUUUUACGGAUAUGAUUAUAAUGCAGCUGCAUAGGGAUCUGGAAAAAAGAUAGUUGUCAUGAAAAAAAUCAUAUUCAAUGAUUUCAUGUCUACGUUAUUAUGAUCAGUAUUGACAAUCUAAUAUCUGAUACCAUUUUUCAUGUUGUAUUAUAUUAUGCCAGUUUCCAGUUGUUAGAGGAAGAGAGCAUUGAAUUCAAGGGAUAUGGACUUCGUGACAAUGCUGUGUAACUCUUUGUUUUUGAGAAUCAGGAAAUGGGACUAUGCCUUGGUUGUAUCUAGGCGGACCAAUCUACUGUUGCAAUCAGAGAAACUUUUGGGAAGUUUUAUGAUGGACUUGAACCUGGUUGUCAUUGUUUGCCUUGGUGAUUGGGUAGUGCAGUAGCUGGUCAUCUCUUUCUACGAGUGCAGCAAUUGGAUGUUGGCUAUGAAACAAAGACCAAGGUUUGUCUUUAAUUUCCUUUACACACAAAAGAUUGAUAUACCUUCUAUACACAGAUUAAGCACUGCACAUGCACUCUAGGUGCAUGUCUUAGUUCUCUCACUAAUGUAAAGUCUUUUUGUUGUUUCUCUUAAUUGUCCAUGUAUAUAUUUGUCCUGUUUUGGUUUAGUUAUUUAAGCUGCUUAUGGUUCUUUCUUAUUUUUCCCAGGUUCAUGUGCUUCCUUCCAUUUUGGAUCUUAUCUUGGGUAUCCAGAGCAUUUUUCUCAGUUGCAUUUCCACUUUGUUUUGUGCUCUUUCAUUUUCAGUUUCAUGUUCAUUGUAAUUUUUCUUUCACAAGAGGUAAGGUUGAUGUCCCCCUCUUCAACUGUAGUUUAUUUAUUUUAUAUACAAGAAAAAAAAAUGGAGUACUUACUUUUUUU
Molecule: long non-coding RNA, 878 nt
Organism: Rosa chinensis
Lineage: Eukaryota; Viridiplantae; Streptophyta; Magnoliopsida; Rosales; Rosaceae
Exons: 2
Source: RefSeq, a predicted model, not a curated record